UUGCUCUUUAACAAUUUGGAAAGCUGACGAAUAACGACUGUGAUUAGUUGUUAUUCAAAUUUAAAAGUUCUCAAAUCCUAUGACUCUUUAAGAGUGAUAGGUACCAACACACAUUCAAGUGUUCUUGGGUUUUCAUGUAAAUGAAAACAUAUUUGAGUCCGGCAAAAUCGAACGUCUCUCACUCAUAAAAUAGAGAGACAACCUUGGUUGCUGGUUUGUCUUCACUUUAAAAAGUGAAAGCAAACAAUCCAUACAUAAGACCUCUUGGGGUUGUAU
Molecule: unclassified non-coding RNA, 276 nt
Filed under: Vibrio tapetis
Lineage: Bacteria; Pseudomonadati; Pseudomonadota; Gammaproteobacteria; Vibrionales; Vibrionaceae
Description: partial miscellaneous RNA
Source: RNAcentral